UCCCUCUCCCUCCCCUCCUAACCCACCCUGCAGUCAGUGCUCUUAACCUCUGAGCCGUCUCUCCAGCCCAGCAGGCCUGAUUUUUAUGCAUAGAAGUUGGAUGUCUGAUGGACCACACUCUCUGUAUUUCUCCAGUCCAUUGUGCGGAUUGAAAACAAAUAUUUUCAUAGAAAGAAGCAGCUUGGGCCACAGGCAUUUUCAGAUCUUCUGCUUCACUAUCACAUAUUAUUUCAAGCUUGAGCUUGUCUAUCCUCCAUCAAAUCGGUGCUUCAUCAAAUGGACGUUGAGUGUCUUUGGUCUCCAGGCCCUGCUAGCUAGAUGUUGGGUCACAGGGCGAAUGCUUUCUAUGUAGCCCUGCCUUUCCCAGGCCCCCCCCAUCUCCUCUACUGAUAACACGCGUAACUUUCCCCCCUAAAGUUUUACCUUUAUCUUUUAAAGGUAAAUGAGCAUGUGAUGUCAUAAUUCUCUUCAUUUCUGAGUUGGCAUCUUUAUUCACCUCUGUUACCCUGAGCUCCUGGCCUGUGUAUUAUUUUAUCCAUACUAUAUUGAUUUCACAGACCUGCCAUUUUCUCUUUAUUAAAAUUCCAAACGGCCGAAUGGCAGUUGUGCAGGCCUUUAACCUAACUAGCACUGGUGGUGGCGCAGGCCUUUUAAUCCCAGCCCUGAGGCGGAUCUUGGAGUUCGAGGCCAGCCUGGUCUACAGCCAGGGCUGCGUAGAGAAAGUGUAUAGUCUCAACAGUCAUGCUAAGUGGAAGCUUCUCCUUAUGAGUUACUACUUUCUUGUAUAUUGGUCUUAUAUCCAGGAAUAUUGAACUUAUAUUUUAUUUAAUAGUUUUCCAUUAUAGUUCUCGAUAUGGAGACAAUUAUCCCUCAAAGAUGCAAUUAACAUUUGUGUAUUUUGGUGUAUGUGUGUAUUUUGGUGUAUGUGUGUCCCUGUGUGCGUGUAGAGGGCAGAAAUUGACAUCUGGCGUCUCCCUCAGUCUCUCUCCACCCUGUUUCUUGAAACAAGGUCUUCCACUGAACUUGAAGCUCACAGAUUGCCUAGAUGGGCCAACAAGCUCCCCCAGGAUCUGUCUCUCACCUCCUGCACUCCCUGUGAGAGGCUGGCCAGCCUUUACCUCUUGAGUGCUGGUAUUCAAGGCAUGCAUCCAUACACCUAGCAAGAUACACACUAAUUAAUAUAUAUUAAUCUCAAAAUGAUUAUUCUACCACAAACUUGUACUGUCCAGAGGGUAGGUAUUUACUAUUAAGACUUGGCUACUAAAAUUCAGUCUAGUUGAAAAUCCCUGGCCACAUAUAGCUCAGUAGUAAAGUAUGAGGCCCUAGAUGAAGUGCACUGUUCCAGCCAGUCAGUCAUUACUGUUACUCUAAGCCAUAUGGCUGCCAUAUUUAAUAACUACAUAAUUCUUUCAUCAAUCUAAGAAUAUGAUUGAUUGUACAUUGUCUGGCUUUUAUUUAUCAGAGUUUUGUAUUUGUACUAUAUAUAUAUAUAUAUAUAUAUAUGUAAUAUAUUACAUCCUAUAAGAAAGCUGGUGUAAGCCAAUCAGCAUAUCCCCAGGGACAGUUCUGAGGGCCCCAGUGUAUUGUUUAUAUGAUGAUAUGCUAGAAAAGUUAUUUCUCAGAUAAGUACCAGGACAAAUCAUAGUUACCCUGAGACUUACUUCCCAGAAUCCUUAGGGAUAACUUUGAAAUCGGUUGUCUUUGUUGUUUUUGUUUUUCUUUGCCUUUUCUGGGAAUGUAGAGCCAAAGUUACGGUACAGUUGAGGUAGUCCCCUGGCGUGUGGGUCUGUGUGCUUUGUUCCUUUCUCUGCAGUCUCGGGGAACAGCUGCCAGAAAGCCCUUCAGCUGGCUUUCCAAAACACUUUAAAUUUCAAAAUAGUAGUUAAAGAACUCAGUGAUGGAGUUGACAAAACCCUUCAGGCCUUUCAGUAUUGCUAGGGAAAUUUAGCUAGGAGUAUAUUUGUGUCUUAGUCAAGCUGUGUGGACAGGACUUGAAUAAUGGUACCUUUUUGGAGGAAGGGGUUGUUCCUUGUGGACAACACAGAAUUAAAUUCUUAGUUAUCCUUUCUCAGUGGAGAGACAUACUUCUCUUUUUCAUUUUAUUCUGGAACUUACAUGCCAGUGUGAUAUUUGCACAUUUCAGGCCAAAAGGUAAAAUACGUUUUAAAAAAUAAGUUUUAAGCCUUAUAUGGAAGGAAAGUUGUAGAACUAGGCAUUCUGUUGGGCAGGGUUGGUGAAUAUAUUUGAUUUGGGGCUUCCUAGUUGCCGAAGUGAGAAAAGGAAAACAGAAUUGCAUAGUUUAUGUGUGUUGACAACCAGAAGCACGUAAACAUCUGCAGAAACCAAACAUUUCUUGGAACUAAACUCAAGCAGAAAUGUGUCACGUGGACCUUUGUUUAAAGAGUCUAGUGAAAAAUAUCUUCAACCACAGUUACAUAACAGGUCCAGGAGCACAGCGCAUGUGAAAUGGGUUCUCUAGGCGGUGACUGGGAAGCCCAGUGUGUGCCCUCGCAAGGCAGGUGAGUGGAAAGGAUCUCAGAGACCCGAGGCCAGGGCCUGUGCUGUUUGGACAUUACAGGAGGGAACUUUAGACAAUCACCCUGGUUACAGGGACCUUUAUUUUCUGUCAGAUAUGAGAUGCUGCCAGUGUGGCUUUUCCGUAGCAUCCAACAAUGACUCCACUGCAGAGAUUUUGCUUUGAUGAUUAAUGUAAAGCUCUGAAGAUAGCAAAGAGCAUUUUUUUGUGGGACCAUAAGGGCUGGCCUUUGCCCUCAAGAAGUCUAGUUUAUUUCUGAGUAAAGGGUCCAGUAGAAUCUUUACUCUUUCAAAACUUGUAUCCAUUCUCUUUUUUUCUCAUUUAGGCUUUUGUAACAAAGUAGCUUAACGAAUCAUAACUAAUAGGACAGAAGCAGCUUUCCCCCUCUUUCUGAGGAACAACUGUAGCCAGCUGCUCAUCUGAAAGAGUAUCAUGGAAGGGUGGUUUGUUUUAAGAGCAUGCCUUCUCUGGGGUUGACUAGGUAUGAUUUGAAUAAGAAUGCUCCCCACCCCAAUCACUUCAUGUAUUUGAAUGCUAGUCAUCUAAAAAAGGUGGUAGUCCUAAAAAUGUGCUUGAGGCUAAAUUUAGUUUUGGAUUAAUGGUGUUGGCAGAGGAGAUUUGAAGACCCUUAAGAGAUUAACAUUAUCCUUGGUCUUUUGUGCUGUGUCCUCAGAUGAAGGAAGGGACUAAAGUGCUCUUGGCCUUCUUUGAGAAGAGUACCAAUUCUAGUCAUGAGUGAUGCUCCGUCCUCACUUCAUGAUCACUGCCCAAGGGCUUGCCUCAAAUUCCAAAGCCUUGAGAAUUAGUUUUCUUAAUGUGGAGGGUUCAAACCCUGGCCUAUGACAGCAGUGGUUACAUUUCUGGAAAGCAACAUUUCUGGAAAGACUCUCAUGACUAUUUUAUUCUAAUAAUUUUCAAUACAGUAAUGUGACAAUUUUGAUCUAAUUUCAUUUUAUCCAGCUACUUAGAUACACUUUUUAUCUGAAGAAUGUACAGCACCUUCCAGUGCACCUUAAAGCAAAGACUACAUCAUUAAUUACUUGUUAAAAUAAUUUCAGUUCAGUAUACUCCUUAGGGAGGGAAUUGUUGAAGUUGGAGUUUGUUUUGAGCUUUGUGGGUUUUUUAUUACCAAUUUUUUUCAAUUUUUGGAAAUUAGUUCAAAGCUAUUGGAAAACUUCAGAUGGAACAUUUUUAAGUAAUAAAACUUUCCUCCAAAAAGGAAGAGAUUGCCAUUCGUCUCAGAGACUUUGAACUUCAGGUGUUUGGAUAGUGUUGAGGCUGUGGGAACUGAAUGCGUUUUUGCAUUAUGAUAUGCUCCAACUUACCAGACCAGGGGGUGGAAUGUGCUUGUUUUUAUAAGAAUGGCCCCUAUGGGCUCAUAUAUUUGAUUGCUAGUAACCAGGGAAUGGCACUGUUUGAAAGAAUUAGGAGAUGUGGCCUUGUUGAGGGAAGUGUCACUGAGGGUAGUAGGGUUUGAGGUUUCAAGAGUCCAUGUCUCGCUCUGCCAAGGGUGAGGAUAUAACUCUGAAGUACUUCUCCAGCACCAAGCCUGCUGCCAUGCUUCCCACCGCCUUGACAAUGAGCUGAGCCCUGAGAUUGUAGACAAGUUGCCUUGGUCAUGGGGUCUCUUCAUAGCAACAGUACAGUGACUCAGGAUCUAGGGGACUGUACUGGCUGCUUUUGUGUGUCACAAAGAGCCUCUGCGAAACAUACUUCUGCUGCAGCAUUUACUGCUCUGAGUUAAACAUGGAGCUGGGCACAGCCUUCUUUUAACAGACCAUGCCUUGAGCCUGACAGGGUCCCCAGCAGGUGCAAAGAGCACUUCCUUGUUAGUGUCAUCCAGGGAAGGGUCAGCUGAAAGGGCUAGUGUUUUCAGGUGACUGACAUGAGAGUAAGCUUUGAAAAAGCAUCUGUGCAAAACUUAAUAAUGAGGUCACACUAUUUUUUCCAGAAAAUACAGUGAGACCCAUGUGAGAGAAGACAGUUUUCUGUUAGGGAAAACAGUGGCCGUGCAUUACAGUGCACACCUGAUCUAUGAUCUUCAUAAUGUUCAUAUGUGUGAAGACAGCUUUGCAACACACUCAGUCACUUUCAUACUUUAAAAAUAAGCCCAAAGUUUCAGUUCAGCUUAUUAGUACCACCGUCGUUCUUUCUCUGCUCUCUCUUUGCUAUCUGUGCUCCCCCGCCCUCUGUUUCUCCCUCCAUCUUUGAGAAAGGACUUCAUACUGAUCCCAGGUUGGCCGGUGUGUAGCUCAGGUUGGCCUCCAAACCAUGGCAGUCCUCCUCCCUGGGCCUCCCACUUCCCCUGUGCCCAGCUUCAGUCCUUUGAGUGUUUCCCUCUGACUGGGGGAGUGACCCGUGGUUAGAGUGCUGGCUGCUCUUGCAGAGGACCCGGCUUCAUUUCCCAGCACCCACCUGGCAGAUCACCACUCCCUGUGACUCCAGCUCCAGGGGGUCCUCACACACAUGUGAAUGUAGGCAAAACACCAAUGCACAUAAAACAGAAAUAAAUAAAUGUUCCCACCUCUUUGAAUCAAAAGUGUUGUUUGUCAGUUGUAUGACUAGAGGCAGAUUUUAUCUAGUGAAGGGUCAGGCUGGUAAAAAGUAACCAGGCUGUGCCUUGGGAUGUGGGUAUUUAACUGUGUCAACCUAGGCUUGUGCCGGAAGGGAUGUCUCAAAACAGAAAGGACAUAGUUAAGCACAGAAGAUCGCUGCGUCGUGUCACCCGCCAUUCCAGGGCCGUGAAUUAACUUGCUCUGAGCCCUCUCUAACAAACACAGAAGGAAAAGAAUGGAACAGAGCUGAUUUCUUUCUAGGCUCCUGAUAGCUUUGUCCUGGUGUGUAAUACAGCUUCUUUUCUCCCACAGGCACUUUGCUGCUCGUUAGGGUUAGAAGAAUUGAGCUAGCAAGAGUCUGUACCCCUCGGCCGUACGCAGCUCACAGCCACUGGUUGCACAAAUACCUGACUCCAAUAGCUCAGGAAGAAUAUCAAGCGAAGAUGGGAGGUCAGCCUGCAAGCCGGAAGGGAGAGCUCACUUGCAGUCCUCCGGUUAGCCUGGUGGUUUCCUAGGCAACCACUUAAACAGUAAUUAAAGAUGAAGAACUACAAGGGGGGACAAUGGCAGCAACUCGGGCCCUUUUAAUAGAACACAGUGAAUCACUGACAACCAGGUAACAUGCCAACACGCCAACCAGAUAGGCUGUGGGGGUGGCUCCACUGGAGGAAAUCAAAACGGUUCUGAUUACCAAGAGAGCCACCCACUUCUUCACGAUCCACACGAAGAGCCCUGCAGCUCCCUCUCAAGGUACCGAUUCCAUGUUUCCCAAGUGCGUUUGGCCAGGUAGCCUCUGCUGAGCUUCACUUGUGGCUGGCAGGGUUACACGUGUUUACCAGGGAUCUUAAAUCUAUCCCACUUCCUUACAGGACUGUCCAUGGCACAGCAGCUUGGUGUGCCGGGCCCUUCGGCCGUUCUUCAGCCUGACUUGAUGUUAUUAACCGGUGUCUUUCUGUUUACCCCCACUCACGGCUCUGGGACAUGUUUUGUGUUCCCUGGGCCUCUGGUGCUGUGAUUAAGGGCUUGGUGCUUAUAAGCAUUUUUAGCAGAGGAACCAAGAUAGUUCUCAGUAGGCAUCCCAGAAUUGUGAGCUUUUAAUUACUCUGUAAAACAGCACAAGGGCUAAAGAGUCAGGGUUUAAUUUUAUUUCAGGAGGGUGAGAUACAGGAGAUUUUCUCACAGAUGCAGUUACAAUAGGAUUCCAGUUGCAACUCUUCUUUGCUUUAUUAUAUUCAAAUCGAGGAAGGGAGAAAAAAAGUGGAUCAGACUUAGAAGGGGCAGUUCCUCGCUCAAACAGGUAGCACUGAGACACAGCACCACCAGUAGUGUGUUCUGUCGAUUACCAGCCCUCAGAGCACAGUACUCCAUGAAAUACUUCAGUGCUGUGAACUGAAAACUCAGAAACGUUUGUGGGGAGCUCCAUGCACAUAGGAAUGAAGUCACACCUGGAGUGAGGCUCUGGGUGGGAAUUCUCACCAAUAUGGCGGAGGUGAACGCAGAAGCCAGUCUCUUGAGUAGAAAAAGAGCUGGCAGGGACUGGGUUUGGAUGUUGGGACUUACAAUCUGAUGUAGCAUGCCUUUGCUUUCCUGUAAGAAGGACCAGAAAACCAAGCAUUUCCUGAUGGUCCCGUGUGAGCCCUGUGAGUAUAAUGCUAAUGCCACUGCCCCGGCUGUGCUGUGGUGUUUGUGGGCUGUGCGAGGCAGCUGGAGCAGCCUGUGCAGCCAACAGCAGCAGAGGUGCUAAUGCAUGGCCAGUGAUGUCAGGAGUUACGAGACCUUGGUUUCAAAACAGCGCAGUAAACAAGGUCAAAGUGUCCCCUUUUGCUGGAAAGGAGGUCUGUUUUUAUGAGUUGGACAGUGCAUGGAUGAAGUAAUUUUCCAAACAAACGUCACGUUUGCAUGUAUUUUUUUUAUUUCUGGAUUAAAAAGAAACAAACAAGUUACCCAGAUGAGAUUUGUUACUGGUUAUAUUAUAAAGAUUCUCUUUUUUUUCUAUUUUUAAUGAAGGAAAUAAUCUAUUUCAUGUUUGCUUUUUAAAAUACAGUCUGUUGGUCUUUUCAGAAUUUCAUACAUGUAUAUAAUGUGUUUGGUCAUAUUUACUCGCUACUUCUCCCAGUAACUCCUUCCAUUUCCAUCUCCCCCUCCUCACACCUCAGUUUCGUGUUUUCUGAUCUAAACCUUUGAAAUAAUGUGGUAGAUUUCAAACCACGGUAGGUUGCAGUCACCGCCAAGAGCAGCAUGGCUCUUCUGGUCGUCUGCUUUGGUGUUUCGCCUGGAUAGGCAGGCGUCCGAGCUAAAGAAAGUGAAUGGUGCAGAAUGCCAGGGCUGCAUGGCUUGGCCUUAGCCGUUUCCCAACCUUGGUCCUGAGAACGCCAGAGAGUGGAGGCUCAAGCUGUUCUUAGGAGCAGUUGUGCUGGCCUCAGGGUACUGAAGGUAACAAGUAGAUGUCGUUCCUUCAGGGUGUGUGUGUGUGUGUGUGUGUGUGUGUGUGUGUGUGUGUGUGUGUGUGUGUGUGUGUGUGUGUGUGUGUGUGUGUGUGUGUGUGUGUGUUUGUGUUUGUCUGUCUGUGUAGUAACAGCGGUGGAGCCACGUGGCGUCUAGAGGUCAUCUCAGUCUGCCCUGGGGAAUCCUUGUUCUCAAAAGUGUCUUCAGUAGCGCCGAGAUGAACUGUGAACUUGAGGCCUUGACAGAAGCGAGGUGCUUUUGGUGUUCCACAGCAGACCUGGGUGUGUUAGUACACACACAGCUUUUAAAGUGAAACCAGGGCCUUGAGGAAGCAGUUGCCAGCAGCCAGCCCAGCACGCAACCUGCUUGCAGCUAGAAAGUGAAGUAAGUUGGGUUUUGGUUUGGUUUGGUUUUGGUUUUUUGGUCAGUCUCUUCUUCGUGAUUUUCCUUGUUAACAUUGUUAGAUGUUCAAUACCUGAUAAGGGCUAAGUCCUGCCCCCCCCCUUCUUUGAAGUGGGAAGUAUAGUUGUUACUUCUAAUUGCUUCUUUAAUCAUUUCUGUCUUCCAUAUAUAAGAGGCUGGUUUGCUUUAGAGACUGGGGAGCAUUGUCAAGAAGUAAACAGGCUCUUUGGUCACUCCCCAUCCCUUGGCUCUUCUCUCUCAGUUAAGUGACAAUGACAGACUCCUUCUGUGCUUGUAGUAGCCGGGAGCUCCUUCAGCAAAACAGCCCAGUUCCCUGCCUGAUUCCUGUUGGAAGCAGGCAAGGUGUGUCGUGUCCUCAGGGCGGUGUACAGGCAGAGAGUCUCCCUGACCCCUAAGCGGGAACUGAGUGGAAACCAGCGAGGAGAGGAUUACAGACAGAGCGGAAUAAUUUUAAAAUCUGUAAGGAAUUGGAAAGAUGCCAAUUAAAAAAUUAAGCUUGCUGGGGGGGGGAGAAAAUUAAAUGAGGAUGAAGGGGAUAGAGAGCUGGUCUGUCAAGAGAAACGACUUUUCCUCCGUUAGGAGGUUUUGUACCAUGUAGCUUUGGAGUGAAUGCGGGGUUUUUUUUGUUUUGUUUUGUUUGUUUUUUUUUUUGCCUUUGGAAUACAAAGAGGCAUCAGUCACCUAUGUAGGAGCCUGUGACAGCACGUUAAUUCUACAGUGGACGUGUAUCUUUAAUCCUGUUGGGUUUCUGUAUUGACUCUGUCUCUAGAGGUGGCUUGGUUCACUUUUAAAUGGGAGUCCUUUGGCUUUGACAUUGCAGGCAGAACCCAGAACGGCUGAGUGGUUUGUGAUUGUGAUGAAAUUCUUUCCUUCUGAAGGGAACUGCGCUGCUGUAGAGUGCUCUUGACUGUUUCUCCAUCCCGAUGGCGCUUGGAGGGUAGGAGGAGGCAGCGUGGCAGCAGAAGAGUGAGGAGAAGGGUCUCCUGUGGCAUAUGGCAGGGAUUCAGUUAGCGCUGGUGUCACAGAAUCCCAUUUUUACCUCAGAGUUGUGGAGACGGGACUAAGUAUGGCUGAUGUCCACCUGAAACACUCCAGGCCCCCACUCGCCACCCUUUGUGAACAUCAGAGGACUACUAAUUCAGCAAACAUUUUUAAGUAUUUUCCUUAAGAUAGCGACAUGAUGGAAAUUAUGACUUUAUUCGAUUCAGUUUACAGAGCUUCAGUCUGUAAAUUAAAGUGGGAGCAUGUUGAAGGGUAAGCCAGCAGAGCAUUCCCAUUGAACUUUCCUUGUUAAGGAUGGUGCCAAGCAAACCUGCCGUUCCCUGGUGAGACGCUCUUCCUAAUUAAAGGGGAAGGUGGCCGCCAUCUGUCCUCUUCCAUUCAAGGCAGUAGGGGGACUGGAGUGGAAGGAAGCAAACUCCCCUUUUAUUUUUCCCCCACUCUUUUUUCUUUUCCUUUUUAUACUCGGCUUUCUCCCUAGUCAGUGACCCAGAAGGUCAUUGACGAUCUGUCUGCCUCCGUAUGAAUAGUACUGUAAGCAUGCCUGCCUGGCGCUUGGAAAACAAAGUUCAUAGCAGUGAAUUUUCUACUUAGAACUCCACUUGAACCAUGUCUCAGAGUAUUGCAGUCUGCACAUAGCUGUCUCUGCCCCCGGCAUCCUGAAGUUACUCCUGGUAGGAAAAAUGGGGAGUUUUAUUUUUAUUGAUUUUACUUUUUCAUGAAGAUAGUAUACAUUCCACUGGACAUAAUGAAAAGAUAUGUUAGUUACAGUGCCUGUAUGUUAUCGGGGGAAAGAGAGCAUGGAUAAGGAUAUUAACAGAUGUUCCAUUGCAUAGUGGUCUGUCCCUGUGUCCACUGAGUAAUUCACAUGGUUUAUCGUUCAGUUAAGCAGGAAGCUUGGUAGCCUCCUUCUCAUGAAAAUCUGCUCCAAGAGAAUGUAGUUAGUUUAUGCUCAUGGCAUGAUUGCUUUUAAGAUGUGAGUUACCCUCAACAAAAUGAUUUUACUAUGUUGCCUCAAUUUCCCUCUUGAUCAUAUUUUUUUUGCUUUAAGCAUUUGAGAGACUAUGAAAUACUACUUGUUUUUCAUACAAACUUUAUUGGAACUGAGAAAUUGUAAAUUGUUUAGUUAGUUUUAUUUUCAGUUUUUAAUAUACUUUGGCAAAAUGCUAUUAACAGUCAUAUUAAACUGACCAGGACUGGUUCAAACUUUACAGCCAAUGCCAGAUUUCAUACUGUCUGUGUGACAUGGAAAUGUGAUAUUUCUCAACCUUGUGAUAAUAUAGGGAAGCUCAAACAUGGGAGUCACCCCUGGAAUCUCACUCACCGCUCUUUUCAGAUUCCUCACCAACCUGUAAUGGGCGUUCUUGGAAGCAUGGUUGUGCUUCUGCCGUGUGACGUCUGGCGAGGAGGAAUGUAGGCAUCUGCAGACAAGCACCCAGUCUGCAAGUCUGGGUUUAGCCUAGGUCCAUCGGUGAAGGGUUGGAGCAAGUGUGAGCAGCUAGUCCUUGUCCUCUCACAGCCUUUUUACGUCUGGUUCUGUUGCCUUGUUUCACAAGUUAGGGCUUUAGAUGCUCAGUUACAUAAUGAACUAGCCAUGUACAUUGUGGUUAAAAUUAAUUUUCCCCCUUAGAAUUAAGAGGACUAAAAUAUGUCAGUAAAGUGUGAUUCUCAGGUAAUAUAUUUAGUUUUGGGGGCUGCACCUAUAUGGAUAGGUGUGCAUGUGUAGGCCAAGGGUGUUCGGUGUCUUCCUUGACCACCCUCCACCUCAUAACAUUGAGUUAGGGUUUCUCCUGAAUUUAGUUUGUCAGUUCUGCUUGUUGAGGUAGCCACGUGCUCUGGGGGUCCUGUUUCCACCCCCUGAGUGCCAGGACUGUAGGCACACCGCCAUGCCUGCUCCUCCCCUCGUAAAAGGUUUGCUGGACAUCUGUAGGCGGCAUGAUCUUUACCCACUGAGCCUUGUCCUCAGCCCCAAGUGAUUAGUACUUCAACUCACAUGGCAAGAGACACAUGGACAGGUCAGUGUGACCCAGGAAGAGUUCAGACUUUACUAAUGGGAUGCCAGCUCCCUGGAGCACGUCACUUCCUGCCUGCCUGCCGCUGCUGUGUGAACCUUUGGGCUUUCUUUCUGUCUGUGGGGUAGUAAGGAACUGUUUUUGCUAGCACUGAUGACUAAACUAUGUAUAUCUUGUUGUCGACACCCAGUGGGCCACCGGUUCAUCCCUAGAGUUAGUGUGUUACGUUCAGAAGUAAGCAGCUCGCCCACGGAUCCAGCAUCCCAGGAGGACGCUGCCUAGCUAAAUGACAUGAUGAGGUAACUGCAGGGUGGUGGGCACUGUCGCCUUCCAGAACCCAGAUCAGGUUCAAGUAAGAUCUCAUGAUAGAAAUGCGGGGUGGGGGGGUGAUAUAGAGUUGCUCAUGGAAUCAAAUCUUAGCAGUGAAAGCCUUACCCCACCCCUUCUUAUGUCGAGGCUUCAGAAUAGACUUUGAUCCAUAGUUGCUAAUCAGUUGAAAUGUUUUUAUUCAAUAAGAAGUUUUCUUUUACCUCCAUUAAAUUGUUGGUCCUAAAAGGUUCUGAGAUUCUCGGAAUAACUUUGGAUUCUCUAAGAAGACAGAAUAAUUAAUUUUUUCUUUUACCUGUUAGACCUGAGAGGACCAACCCAGUCUACAAAGUUAGUUCUAGGCCAGACAGGGCUGUGUGGAAAGACCCUGCCUUAAUUAAACAAACAAAAAAUAGAACUGAGAAAACAUAGCCAGAAAUGGUGGUAUAUGCCUUUAAUUCCAGCACUCAGGAGGCAGAGGCAGACAGAGCUCUAUGAAUUCAAGGCCAACCAGGGGUUCUUGGUGAGACCCUGUCUCAAGUAAGUAAAUAAAUAAAAUCUGAGAGACUAUGGAAGCAUCAUGGGUCAUUUUACUGUUGCCAGUUUCUAUGUAACUAAUCCAUGGAGACAGAAACUUGAAGGUAGCUUGCCUCUCUGUGAGUGAGGGGAACCAGGGCUGCUUCAUAACCUCUUGUGUGUUACAUUCCGGAGGGACAGAAUUUCUGUGAUGUGUCUCAUGGACAGUGUCAUUUGGUUCGUUGUGGAGUAUCAGUUCCAGGCAGUGUCCUAAGCAGUUCACUGUGGACAUGGAAGGCUGCUGCUCCCUGUAGAUACCCUGUAGGUGUAAGGACUUUGCCAGUGCAUGACUGAGCCGAGAGCCUGAAGAUGUCCUUGCAGAGCCUAAAGCUAAGGUUCUGUGCGCAGAUCAAGUUAGAGAAAAGGGUAGAAAAAGUGGAGAGGAACAGACCAGCAGCAUGGCAACUUGGAACCAAGGCUAAUCAGUGCACGGAGUUAGAAAUGCUUCCGAGGUGAAGGGUCUCUGAGCUCAGGGUAGGAGAAAGGUGGGGUUGGACAUGAGGCCUUGGGAAGAAGGAAAGCGUCCUUAUCUGUGGGAACAGCUGGUGUUGAUGGGAAAUACCAGUGACAGUGGUCACUCCCUGUCUCACAGAACCUGGCACAGUGGCUGCAGAGACCAUUAAGAGAGCAGAGGUCCCAUGAAUGCCAGCUCUAGGAGGGCCCCACUCACUGUAAUUAAACAGAUCAGUUUUAAUACCGAGUCACAAGGGAGCAGGAGAAGGUUUUGGGCAGAGCCCUGUGCUGGUGUGUGUGAAAGAGUGUGGCCUGGACAGUGACACAACUAGCAGUGGGACUCAGAGGCACUGUCUGGAAAAACAAAGCAAAAUAAGGAAGGCGGGAGUAAGAAGGCCACAGUGGGCCCAAAGGCAAGGUCCAGGAACUGCUGGGUCAUACGAUGGU
This is a long non-coding RNA of Mesocricetus auratus (golden hamster), 12752 nucleotides long. RefSeq lists it as uncharacterized. The transcript has 4 exons. NCBI's taxonomy places the organism in Eukaryota, Metazoa, Chordata, Mammalia, Rodentia, Cricetidae. The record is from RefSeq and is a predicted model, not a curated record.